GAUGAACGCUAGCUAUAGGCUUAACACAUGCAAGUCGAGGGGAAACGGCAGGAGAUGCUUGCAUCUUAUGGACGUCGACCGGCGUACGGGUGAGUAACACGUGGGAAACCUACCCUUCAGCGGGGGAUAACCAUCGGAAACGAUGACUAAUACCGCAUAGACGACAGAACCGCCUGGUUCAAUCGGGAAAGACGGCUUCGGCUGUCACUGAAGGAUGGUCCCGCGCUGCAUUAGCUAGUUGGUAAGGUAACGGCUUACCAAGGCUAUGAUGCAUAGCCGACCUGAGAGGGUGAUCGGCCACAUUGGGACUGAGACACGGCCCAA
RNAcentral lists this ribosomal RNA (324 nucleotides) under uncultured bacterium. RNAcentral describes it as "bacterial SSU rRNA". It matches the Rfam family "Bacterial small subunit ribosomal RNA", at positions 28 to 334 of the family's 1533-position model. The record is from RNAcentral.